AAAAAUCUAUGUGAAAAAUUUGUACAUUAAAUAAAUUUUUUAUGUUUUAGAAAUUUUAUUAUAAAUUUAUUUUACAUAUAAAUUUUAGUAUAAAAUUUUAAUUAUUUAAAUAAUAAUUAAUUAAUUAUGGUAGUAAUUAGUAUUAAAAAUUUAAGAAAUUAAGAUUUAGUAAUAUGAAAAUUAAUAACUAAUUUUGUGCCAGCAGUUGCGGUUAUACAAAGAUUAAAUUAAAUUAUUUCAGUUUAUAAUAAGUAAUUUUAAAUUAAAGUAAAUAUUAAAUUAUUAAGUGAAAUUUUAAUUUAAUUAAAUUUUAUAUUUAAAUUAUGAUUUAAUAAAUUUUAAUAUAAACUAGGAUUAGAUACCCUAUUAUUAAAAAAAUUAAAUUAUAAUACUAAAAUAGUAAAUAAUUAUUUAUUGAAACUUGAAUAAUAUGGCGGUAUUUUAGUUCAUUUAGAGGAAUCUGUUAAGUAAUUGAUAAUCCACGAAUAAAUUUACUUAAUUUUAAAUUUUGUAUAUCAUUGUUAAAAAAAUAUUUUUAAAUAAAAAUAAUAUUUAAAAUUUUAAAAAUAAAAUUAGUUCAGAUCAAGAUGCAGAUUAUAAUUAAGAUUAUAAUGGAUUACAAUAAAAUUAUUUAAAUGAAUAAUAGUAUUGAAAUUUAUAUUUGAAAGUGGAUUUAAAUGUAAUUUUAAUUAGUUUAUUAAAAUGAUUAAAAAUUAGAAUAUGUACAUAUUGCCCGUCACUUUCAUUUUAAAAUUGAAAUAAGUCGUAACAAAGUAGAUGUACUGGAAAGUGUAUCUAGAAAGAA
This 805-nucleotide non-coding RNA is filed under the name Hestinalis nama. Lineage: Eukaryota; Metazoa; Arthropoda; Insecta; Lepidoptera; Nymphalidae. The record is from RNAcentral.